GGCAGCAGUGAGGAAUAUUGGUCAAUGGGCGUAAGCCUGAACCAGCCAAGUAGCGUGAAGGAUGACUGCCCUAUGGGUUGUAAACUUCUUUUAUUAGGGAAUAAAGUGCACCACGUGUGGUGUUUUGUAUGUACCUUUUGAAUAAGGAUCGGCUAACUCCGUGCCAGCAGCCGCGGUAAUACGGAGGAUCCGAGCGUUAUCCGGAUUUAUUGGGUUUAAAGGGUGCGUAGGCGGAUAUUUAAGUCAGCUGUGAAAGUUUGGGGCUCAACCUUAAAAUUGCAGUUGAUACUGGAUAUCUUGAGUAUAGUGGAGGUUAGCGGAAUUCGUGGUGUAGCGGUGAAAUGCUUAGAUAUCACGAAGAACUCCUAUUGCGAAGGCAGCUGACUAUCCUAUAACUGACGCUGAUGCACGAAAGUGUGGGUAUCAAACAGGAUUAGAUACCCUGGUAGUCCACACAGUAAACGAUGAAUACUCGUUGUUUGCGAUAUACAGCAAGCGACC
RNAcentral lists this ribosomal RNA (501 nucleotides) under uncultured bacterium. RNAcentral's name for it is "bacterial SSU rRNA". It matches the Rfam family "Bacterial small subunit ribosomal RNA", at positions 347 to 848 of the family's 1533-position model. The record is from RNAcentral.